Molecule: long non-coding RNA, 523 nt
Filed under: Equus caballus (horse)
Lineage: Eukaryota; Metazoa; Chordata; Mammalia; Perissodactyla; Equidae
Description: lncRNA (ENSECAG00000045215.1)
Source: RNAcentral
AUCCGUGUAUUGUAUUAUUUUGUAUUACCGUAUUAUUUUGUGUGAUAAGAAUCACACAAAUAGAAUUUGUAAGAAUUCCUGUAUUUGUAGGGUACAACACUACAGUGUUUCUACAAACAGCGAGUUCUUCCGUGUGUGAAUCCACAUUUUAUGUGUCCCAACAAAUUAAGACAGAAUCUUAUCUUAUCUGAUGCAUCUCAUCAUCGUGAAGUCUGGCAGUUCCAGAAGAAAUAGCGCACAUGUCAAUGAAGCAAAAUGACCUGAAGAAGUGAUGAUGGAGAGCUGUACCCGGUGAUUAAUAUCCGCCCCACAAACCUGUAUCCACUCCUCUCUGUGUUUCCUCCAUUUCUCAUUUAAUUGGAACACAUCCUCCAGUAUUUUCCUGAGAAAAUCCAUGUUUGAAAGAUGAAACACUUCCAUACCUCGGCAACGCUUUGGUCACACUCGACUCCAAGAACCAAGACAUUACCUCAAGACCUCUUGACUUCAACUGUGUAGUUGUGCUGUCAUGCAAAGGACGCUG